GACGAACGCUGGCGGCGUGCUUAACACAUGCAAGUCGAACGGUAAGGCCCUUCGGGGUACACGAGUGGCGAACGGGUGAGUAACACGUGGGUGAUCUGCCCUGCACUUCGGGAUAAGCCUGGGAAACUGGGUCUAAUAGCGGAUAGGACCACUGCCUGCAUGGGGGGUGGUGGAGAGCUUUUGUGGUGUGGGAUGGGCCCGUGGGCUAUCAGCGUGUUGGUGGGGUGAUGGCCUACCAAGGCGACGACGGGUAGCCGGCCUGAGAGGGUGACCGGCCACACUGGGACUGAGAUACGGCCCAGACUCCUACGGGAGGCAGCAGUGGGGAAUAUUGCACAAUGGGCGCAAGCCUGAUGCAGCGACGCCGCGUGAGGGAUGACGGCUUUCGGGUUGUAAACCUCUUUCAGCAUCGACGAAGCGCAAGUGACGGUAGGUGCAGAAGAAGGACCGGCCAACUACGUGCCAGCCGCCGCGGUAA
This 478-nucleotide ribosomal RNA is filed under the name uncultured bacterium. RNAcentral describes it as "partial 16S ribosomal RNA". It matches the Rfam family "Bacterial small subunit ribosomal RNA", at positions 28 to 523 of the family's 1533-position model. The record is from RNAcentral.